GACGAAGGUCCGGGUUCUCUCGGAUUGACGGUAGGUGGAGAAGAAGCACCGGCCAACUACGUGCCAGCAGCUGCGGUAAUACGUAGGGUGCGAGCGUUGUCCGGAAUUACUGGGCGUAAAGAGCUCGUAGGUGGUUUGUCGCGUUGUUCGUGAAAUCUCACGGCUUAACUGUGAGCGUGCGGGCGAUACGGGCAGACUAGAGUACUGCAGGGGAGACUGGAAUUCCUGGUGUAGCGGUGGAAUGCGCAGAUAUCAGGAGGAACACCGGUGGCGAAGGCGGGUCUCUGGGCAGUAACUGACGCUGAGGAGCGAAAGCGUGGGGAGCGAACAGGAUUAGAUACCCUGGUAGUCCACGCCGUAAACGGUGGGUACUAGGUGUGGGUUUCCUUCCUUGGGAUCCGUGCCGUAGCUAACGCAUUAAGUACCCCGCCUGGGGAGUACGGCCGCAAGGCUAAAACUCAAAGGAAUUGACGGGGGCCCGCACAAGCGGCGGAGCAUGUGGAUUAAUUCGAUGCAACGCGAAGAACCUUACCUGGGUUUGACAUGCACAGGACGCGUCUAGAGAUAGGCGUUCCCUUGUGGCCUGUGUGCAGGUGGUGCAUGGCUGU
This 608-nucleotide ribosomal RNA is filed under the name Mycobacterium tuberculosis. RNAcentral's name for it is "bacterial SSU rRNA". It matches the Rfam family "Bacterial small subunit ribosomal RNA", at positions 444 to 1052 of the family's 1533-position model. The record is from RNAcentral. Lineage: Bacteria; Bacillati; Actinomycetota; Actinomycetes; Mycobacteriales; Mycobacteriaceae.